RNAcentral lists this ribosomal RNA (253 nucleotides) under uncultured bacterium. RNAcentral describes it as "partial 16S ribosomal RNA". It matches the Rfam family "Bacterial small subunit ribosomal RNA", at positions 524 to 776 of the family's 1533-position model. The record is from RNAcentral.
UACGGAGGGUGCAAGCGUUAUCCGGAUUUACUGGGUUUAAAGGGUGCGUAGGUGGGCUGGUAAGUCAGUGGUGAAAUCUCCAGGCUUAACUUGGAAACUGCCAUUGAUACUAUCAGUCUUGAAUACCGUGGAGGUCAGCGGAAUAUGUCAUGUAGCGGUGAAAUGCUUAGAUAUGACAUAGAACACCAAUUGCGAAGGCAGCUGGCUACACGAAUAUUGACACUGAUGCACGAAAGCGUGGGGAUCAAACAGG